Molecule: ribosomal RNA, 460 nt
Filed under: uncultured bacterium
Lineage: Bacteria
Description: partial 16S ribosomal RNA
Rfam family: Bacterial small subunit ribosomal RNA
Source: RNAcentral
CCUACGGGUGGCAGCAGUGAGGAAUAUUGGUCAAUGGACGAGAGUCUGAACCAACCAAGUAGCGUGAAGGAUGACUGCCCUAUGGGUUGUAAACUUCUUUUAUAUGGGAAUAAAAUGUUCCACGUGUGGGAUUUUGUAUGUACCAUAUGAAUAAGGAUCGGCUAACUCCGUGCCAGCAGCCGCGGUAAUACGGAGGAUCCGAGCGUUAUCCGGAUUUAUUGGGUUUAAAGGGAGCGUAGGUGGAUUGUUAAGUCAGUUGUGAAAGUUUGCGGCUCAACCGUAAAAUUGCAGUUGAAACUGGCAGUCUUGAGUACAGUAGAGGUGGGCGGAAUGCGUGGUGUAGCGGUGAAAUGCUUAGAUAUCACGAAGAACUCCGAUUGCGAAGGCAGUUCACUGGACUGCAACUGACACUGAGGCUCGAAAGUGUGGGUAUCAAACAGGAUUAGAUACCCUAGUAGUC